RNAcentral lists this microRNA (23 nucleotides) under Pteropus alecto (black flying fox). Its description in RNAcentral is "pal-miR-329b-5p". Its record names the gene pal-miR-329b-5p. RNAcentral also lists the same sequence under 5 other names. Lineage: Eukaryota; Metazoa; Chordata; Mammalia; Chiroptera; Pteropodidae. The record is from miRBase by way of RNAcentral.
AGAGGUUUUCUGGGUUUCUGUUU